This is a long non-coding RNA of Suricata suricatta (meerkat), 419 nucleotides long. RefSeq lists it as uncharacterized. The record is from RefSeq and is a predicted model, not a curated record. NCBI's taxonomy places the organism in Eukaryota, Metazoa, Chordata, Mammalia, Carnivora, Herpestidae. The transcript is spliced from 2 exons.
GUGAACGGGUAGGGUAGGGGGUGAGUGCGCGAAACGGUGUCCGUUUGCGAAGCCGCCGCGACCUGGGGCUCUAGAGUUCAGACCUAAGAAUUGGCCGACCCACAGCCUCUGGUUAGAGCAAUGGUGCCACCUAGCGGACCAUGUCGGAGCGGUCUACGGUGGCUGCUGCGGGGACCCCAGCCUCCAGGAGGUGCUAAUGACGAGCUGGAGAGGAGCUUCAGCACCAUCGUGGGCCGGACAGCUCCUCCCGCCCCCGGCCCGGGAAACCGGGCUUCGGAGCCCCUCGGAAGGGACUCAGCGGAAGACCUAGAAGGAACUCCGAACCUACCCAGUCCGCAUCAGACAGCCCCCGAUGGCUAGUCUGCGAGGCUGGAAUGCGGGAACCCUCCACUCUCCCUUCUCUAAACUGUCCAUUCUUC